AGUGAACGCUGGCGGUAGGCCUAACACAUGCAAGUCGAACGGCAGCACAGUAAGAGCUUGCUCUUACGGGUGGCGAGUGGCGGACGGGUGAGGAAUACAUCGGAAUCUACUUUUUCGUGGGGGAUAACGUAGGGAAACUUACGCUAAUACCGCAUACGACCUAAGGGUGAAAGCAGGGGAUCUUCGGACCUUGCGCGAUUGAAUGAGCCGAUGUCGGAUUAGCUAGUUGGGGGGGUAAAGGCCCACCAAGGCGACGAUCCGUAGCUGGUUUGAGAGGAUGAACCGGCCAAACGGGACUGGGAAACGGUCCCGACCCCUAAGGGGGGGAGCAGGGGGGAAUAUUGGGAAAUGGGGGGAAGCCCUAACCAGCCCAGCCGGGGGGGGGAAGAAGGGCUUCGGGUUGUAAAGCCCUUUUUGUUGGGAAAAAAAGGCGGAAGUUAAUACCCCCGCGUUUUGAAGUGAACCAAAGAAUAAAGCCCGGGUAAAUUUGUG
This 492-nucleotide ribosomal RNA is filed under the name uncultured bacterium. RNAcentral's name for it is "partial 16S ribosomal RNA". It matches the Rfam family "Bacterial small subunit ribosomal RNA", at positions 30 to 507 of the family's 1533-position model. The record is from RNAcentral.